UACGUAGGCUGCAAGCGUUAUCCGGAAUUAUUGGGCGUAAAGCGUACGCAGGCGGUUUGUUAAGUUGGAUGUCAAAACUAUGAGCUCAACUCAUAGCAGGUAUCCAAUACUGGCAAGCUGGAGAUAGGCAGAGGUAAGUGGAAUUCUGUAUGUAGGGGUAAUAUCCGUAGAUAUACAGAGGAACACCAAAAGCGAAGGCAGCUUACUGGGCCUUUUCUGACGCUCAUGUACGAAAGCGUGGGGAGCAAAC
RNAcentral lists this ribosomal RNA (250 nucleotides) under uncultured bacterium. Its description in RNAcentral is "partial 16S ribosomal RNA". It matches the Rfam family "Bacterial small subunit ribosomal RNA", at positions 524 to 773 of the family's 1533-position model. The record is from RNAcentral.